RNAcentral lists this ribosomal RNA (482 nucleotides) under uncultured bacterium. RNAcentral's name for it is "partial 16S ribosomal RNA". It matches the Rfam family "Bacterial small subunit ribosomal RNA", at positions 28 to 507 of the family's 1533-position model. The record is from RNAcentral.
GACGAACGCUGGCGGCGUGCUUAACACAUGCAAGUCGAACGAUGAAGCAGAGAAACGCGCACUUCGGUUCAAAUUUCACUUCGGAUUAGUGGCAGACGGGUGAGUAACGCGUGAGCAACCUACCUCUUACAAAGGGAUAGCCUCGGGAAACCGUGAUUAAUACCAUAUGACACAUUCAUAAGGCAUCUUAAGAAUGUUAAAGCUACGGCGGUAAGAGAUGGGCUCGCGUCCCAUUAGCUAGUUGGUGAGGUAACGGCCCACCAAGGCGACGAUGGGUAACCGGCCUGAGAGGGUGAACGGUCACAUUGGAACUGAGACACGGUCCAAACUCCUACGGGAGGCAGCAGUGGGGAAUAUUGCACAAUGGAGGGAACUCUGAUGCAGCGACGCCGCGUGAGCGAUGAAGGAAUUCGUGUCGUAAAGCUCUGUUCUAUGGGAAGAAAAGGACUGUACCAUAGGAGAAAGCCCCGGCUAAAUACGUG